Molecule: ribosomal RNA, 412 nt
Filed under: Bacillus licheniformis
Lineage: Bacteria; Bacillati; Bacillota; Bacilli; Caryophanales; Bacillaceae
Description: bacterial SSU rRNA
Rfam family: Bacterial small subunit ribosomal RNA
Source: RNAcentral
GUGCCAGCAGCCGCGGUAAUACGUAGGUGGCAAGCGUUGUCCGGAAUUAUUGGGCGUAAAGCGCGCGCAGGCGGUUUCUUAAGUCUGAUGUGAAAGCCCCCGGCUCAACCGGGGAGGGUCAUUGGAAACUGGGGAACUUGAGUGCAGAAGAGGAGAGUGGAAUUCCACGUGUAGCGGUGAAAUGCGUAGAGAUGUGGAGGAACACCAGUGGCGAAGGCGACUCUCUGGUCUGUAACUGACGCUGAGGCGCGAAAGCGUGGGGAGCGAACAGGAUUAGAUACCCUGGUAGUCCACGCCGUAAACGAUGAGUGCUAAGUGUUAGAGGGUUUCCGCCCUUUAGUGCUGCAGCAAACGCAUUAAGCACUCCGCCUGGGGAGUACGGCGCAAGACUGAAACUCAAAGGAAUUGACGG